AAAAAAACACAUUUGGGAACAGCUGAACUUCCUCUUCCGGAUCACUCAUGGGAGGAGAGUGGUGUGCAGAGCGGCUUUUGUGCUCUUCCCGUGGUCGAAGCAGCAGCUGGAAGACAAACAGGAUGGCAAUAAGAGCACUCUGGACAACUUUAAAUAACAAGCAACAUUGAAAAGAGAAGAAAAUCAAGUCGGAAAUCAAAAUAUUUUCCACUUCCUGCAGAAAACCAUACAAAUCUGUUCCUCCUCCAGCAGCUGUUAGACAAAAGAGAGAAAAUCAAGAAAGAAUAAGCAGAUUAUGCAGAACUAAAGGAUGCAUUUCAUGAAAAGUAAAGGGAGAUUUUUUAUCAUUCAGCAAAAGAGGGAAACUUCUGAAAGUCUGUUGGGAGGAAAAGGUCAAUGGUAAACCCCUGUAGAACAGACAGUAAUGCAGGCCUCUCCCUGUGAGGAAGAAGACGGCUUGAAUGAAAGCACCACUAAGCAAGGCAUUGCCCAUAUUUUUGACUCCUCAAGAAUAUCAGCUGUGGAAAAGCUCCAUAGAUUUGCCUAUUGUGGGAAAAGCAUAGAUUGCAAAUCACAGCUGAUUAUGCACAAGAGGAGACGGAAAGCCACACAAAUUACCUGAAUGUGACAAAAACUAUGGUCACAAAAGCUCCUUUGUGGUUCAUGGAAGCACCUCCACACAAGAGGGAAGCCACAAAAGAGCUCCCAAUUCAGUAAAUGCUUUAGUGAGCAUGGCAACAUGGUGCUACAUCAGAUAACUCACAGGAGGGGGAAAACAUAAGACUGUGCAGAUUGUGUGAAAAACUCUCUAGAAAUUUCCAUCUCAUGAGACCAGAAAACUCACACAGAAGGAAAAAACCCUUUGAAUGUACUGAUAAUGCGAAAGUCACAAUUCCAGACUGGUGAU
Long non-coding RNA from Thamnophis elegans (Western terrestrial garter snake), 907 nucleotides. RefSeq lists it as uncharacterized. The transcript is spliced from 2 exons. The record is from RefSeq and is a predicted model, not a curated record. Lineage: Eukaryota; Metazoa; Chordata; Lepidosauria; Squamata; Natricidae.